Prinia subflava (tawny-flanked prinia) is the source of this 1963-nucleotide long non-coding RNA. RefSeq lists it as uncharacterized. Lineage: Eukaryota; Metazoa; Chordata; Aves; Passeriformes; Cisticolidae. The transcript is spliced from 3 exons. The record is from RefSeq and is a predicted model, not a curated record.
UGGGGGUGAGAUUUAGGGAACUUUUGGAGAAUUUGGGGGGAUUUAUGGGAAUUUUUUGUGAUUUAUAGGAUUUUUGGAGGAUUUGAGGGAAUUUUUUUGGUGUGUAUGGGAAUUUUUAUUGGGAAUUCCAGGAAGAAAUUUGGAAUUUGGGGGGGAUUUUGGGGAGGAAUUCCUGGAAGAAAUUUGAGGAUUUGGAGGAUUUUUUGGGGUGAAUUGAAGGAAGAAAUUUGGGAAUUUUGGGGACUUUUUUUGAGGGGGAAUCAAAGGAAGAAAUUUGGGGAAUGUUUGGGGGCAAUUCCAGGAAAAAAAAAAAUUGAGGAUUUUGGGGAUUUUGUGGGGAAGAAUUGAAGGAAGAAAUCUGAGAAUUUUGGGUGUGGGUUUUUGUGGGUUUUUUAAUUCCAGGAAGAAAUUUGGGAUUUUGGGGGACAUUUUGGGAGUAUUGGAGGGGGGCAUUUCAGGAUUGUUUGUUUUCCUGGUUUAGGACAAAUUAGGGGAAAAUCUCCAAAGGAGCCCCUUAAAGGAAACAAACCUCCACAACUCCUCCCUCCCACCACCACCGGGUUCAGGAGGAAUUUCCUCGGAGGAAAAGUGGAAAAAACUUGUUUAUUAAGAAACAACAAAAACCACUCCCCAACACACAAAAAACAGCCUGAGAUGACAACAAACGUUUUCACCAGUUCAAGAGAGGCUGAAUGGCUUGGGCAGUCUGCUGGGGAGGGUGCUGAGCUUCUCUCAGAUGCAAACUCCGGGGGGGUUCCUUGACGUUCCCGAAUCAAGGUCCGAAGCAGGUCCAGUGUCUUUAGGGAAGGGGAGGAAGGAAAGAAGGGGAAAAACAAAAACAGAAAAAUGGCAAAAAGCAAGCAAAAAAGCAGAAAGCAAGAGAGCAAAGCCAGCAAAGCGAGCCUAAAGCUAGCAGCAAGCAAGCCAGAGCAAGCAGCCGGGGGAGGGGUGCAGCUAUAGACAAAACAAACCGAGAGCACGGGAACAGAAACACAUGAUUGGGAUACUAAGCAUGAAAAUGUCCUGUCGCCCCAGGACAUUUGUUUAUUUGUUUCAUUUGUUUAUUUGUUUUCCUGGAAUUUUUGGGAAGUUUUUUCCAGCUCUAAUUCCUGAUUUUUCCCCAAGCCUGAAAGAAAGGAGCACGAGGUUGAGGCCGGUGGAGCCGCUGGAUAUUCAUGAACUGCUCCAUGAGGGCUCCUGUCCUGCCCUGAAGGAGCUGGCGCCAUCUUGGGACCAUGUGUGAAGAACAGGCAGGCACCACCCCAGAAGAUCACAUUCAGAAAUAGACAAGAGGUUUACAGGAAAACCGGCAGUCUCCUCAAUCACCGGGAGGAGACCCAUCAAGAUAAGGCAGCAGGGCCAUCAACACCACCAGCCAACACCCUAACCGAGCAUCAAGCAUCAUCAUCCAUAUCUCGACCAUUCAUCAGCCAUGAGGAUCUAUAGAAACUGGACAUUAACAUAUGAACUGAGAGAAAGAACUCUUUUCAGCCUAGCCGGAGACACCCUUGGAUUUGAAUAGCUAGCUGGGACACAAAGGGAAAUAUGGGGAAAUAUUGCCAAGGGCAGAAUAAAGUGUAUAAAAACCAAGCCCCGAACCGGGCAAAUUUGUGAACCUAGGGGGAGACAGCAGACGGCCAGGUUCUGUGUCUCGAGGUUCACCCUUGGCAUUUUCCCGGGAAAAAGACUGUCAAGUAUCUCCGCUGUUGGUGGGUUUACCGAAAUUCUGUAAUUUGAUCUUUUGUUAAUAAACCAAAUUAUUAUUUUAAUUGGAAUAUUGUAUUGGCAUUUAUAACAAACCAUAACAAUCCUUGGGAAGUGGAAAACCAUCAGCAGGUGGUGUUUUUCCAACGUGUUUACUGGCAAGGAUGUUUACAAAGAGGUGUAGGCUCUAAUGAGCAACCAUAUGAAUUGUACCAAAGUACUGUAUAAAAAGAGAAUUUAGAAAAUAAAUAUUGCUCUC